UGAUUAACAAUAAGCUUUGCCCUUCAUUAAACAUAUAAAAAUUUAAUACAAUAAGUAUUCCAAAAGCUAUUACAUCAAAUGAGUGGCUUUGUGGGCAUACUUCCAACAACUUCUAGUGUUGUUCCUUGCUGUUUUAAAGUGUUUUUAAGCUGUUUUGGAGUGUUUUAGUGUGUUUUGACAUAAAAAUCAGAAAAUCUCAUAAAAAUUUGAAAAAUUGUUUUGAAAAACCCAAAAAUAGUUGUUUUUGUGUGAUUAUUUGUGUCUUAGGGUACCUUCCAACAUAAUGAUGAGGAUUUGGUUUUUAAUUACAUGACUAUUAAAGAGAGUUAUAAACAUGGAUAAAAAUUUGAUUUACUCUUUGGUGUAUGCUUGGUUGUGGUUAUAAUUUAUGAAUUCACAUGCAAUCAUAAAGAAAAAAAUCAGUUUUUGUAACAUGCUUGAAGGAAGGAACUCAAAUGAACGCUACAACCUUGUGAGACUUGAGCUAAACGUUUAUUUGAAGAGUUAAUAAUCUGUGCAUCAUUGUUUUCAAAAGUCGUUGCAUGAUCUCAUUAUUCUUUGCUUGGUUACUACUUAGAAGGCGUUUCAUCAUUUAGUUCCAAAUGCUAGAACUCAUGCCUAUUUCAUUCAAAGCAUGCUAAUGAUUUACAUAACACAUAUUCAAGAUGAAGUUGUGUAGUGACCACCAAAGCCAAAUUACCAUGCCCCUAUUUCAUUAUGUGUUUAAGUUUAACCUCGUUGAGCCUUGUUAAGCCUAUGUUCUUUGUUAACCCACACUAUCCUUACCUAGCCUAGUUUUAGGACCAUCCAUACCCUUGUUCUUGAAGCAUAGUAAAGCAUGACCUAAAAUGAACUCCUUUUUUAUCAAUGUAUUGCAUAAAGCAAGUGUGGGGAAAGUGAUUCUUGUGUGUGUGUGUACCAGAGUCCUUAAUAAGGCACGGGUAGAGAAACGAAAAAAAAAAAGUAUGAAAAAGAGCUCUGAAGUGUUGUUUGUUAAAAAAGGGUCCAAAACAUUGAAUUCGGCCCUAAGUGUUGCAUGAAUCUUCCCUUUGUAUGUAAAAGUUAAUUCUGCAUUCUAAAGUGAAUUCCAAGUGUCUAUUUUAUUGCUUUGCUUGCUAUCUCUUUAAGAACAUUAGUUAUUCCUAUCCUUUCUUUGUUAGCCAUUACCCCCAAGCCCUGUUACAACUCUUGACUUCAAUCUUGAGUGUUGUACGUUUCAAUUUGUGGAGUUCGAAAUUGGUAUGAGCAUAUGGUGUCGCUGGUUCUAGCAUCUAAGUAGUAGCAUACCAUUCAUGAGAUCAUAUCUAAACAUGCUUAAUAACUCCAGAAAAUUGCUUCCUUUUUUAUAACAUAUGUGAGUCCCAGUCUCUAGUGUAGGGUGUGUAGUCAGAAAAUGUGUGUGAAAAUAGAGAGUAUCUUGUAAGGAAUUGAGCAAAUUCUCUAAGGCAUGUUACUACAUUCAAAACAUUGUUUUAAUUGGUUAAUUGUAAACAAGUAAGUAGUGACUAUGAUUAAGUUUGUGCUCAAGUGUGAAGAUAACCAAAAUCUGUGGGAAUGAUGAUUUUUAACAUGUCAUGUGCAUUGGAAAUCCCUAAGGCAAAUGUUGGAAGGUUAGGUUGUGUUUUGUUUGUUUUGUUUCGUUUUGUUUCUUUUGUUUUGCUUGAGGACUAGUAAAAGCUAAGUGUGGGGGAAUUUGAUAGGAGCAUAUUUAUGCAACUUAGUUAGCUUGUUUCUUGGCAUUUACUUAGCUUAAUUCUAGUUAUUUUAGUACUUUAAGCUAUUUUCGUGUGUUUGUAGGUUCAAAUAACAA
This 1810-nucleotide long non-coding RNA is filed under the name Malus domestica (apple). Its description in RNAcentral is "long non-coding RNA (MDOM_LNC012923)". The record is from RNAcentral. Lineage: Eukaryota; Viridiplantae; Streptophyta; Magnoliopsida; Rosales; Rosaceae.